RNAcentral lists this ribosomal RNA (378 nucleotides) under uncultured Streptococcus sp. RNAcentral's name for it is "bacterial SSU rRNA". It matches the Rfam family "Bacterial small subunit ribosomal RNA", at positions 1000 to 1382 of the family's 1533-position model. Lineage: Bacteria; Bacillati; Bacillota; Bacilli; Lactobacillales; Streptococcaceae. The record is from RNAcentral.
AGAGAGUGCGGGAGUGGCCGAAAGGGAAGUCGGAACACAGGUGCUGCAUGGCUGUCGUCAGCUCGUGUCGUGAGAUGUUGGGUUAAGUCCCGCAACGAGCGCAACCCUUAUCAUUAGUUGCUACGCAAGGGCACUCUAAUGAGACUGCCGGUAAUAAACCGGAGGAAGGUGGGGAUGACGUCAAAUCAUCAUGCCCCUUAUGACCUGGGCUACACACGUGCUACAAUGGUUGGUACAACGAGUUGCGAGUCGGUGACGGCGAGCUAAUCUCUUAAAGCCAAUCUCAGUUCGGAUUGUAGGCUGCAACUCGCCUACAUGAAGUCGGAAUCGCUAGUAAUCGCGGAUCAGCACGCCGCGGUGAAUACGUUCCCGGGCCUU